Molecule: ribosomal RNA, 425 nt
Filed under: uncultured bacterium
Lineage: Bacteria
Description: bacterial SSU rRNA
Rfam family: Bacterial small subunit ribosomal RNA
Source: RNAcentral
UGGGGAAUAUUGGACAAUGGGCGAAAGCCUGAUCCAGCAGUGCCGCGUGAGUGAAGAAGGCCUUCGGGUUGUAAAGCUCUUUUGUCAGGGAAGAAACGGUGAGGGCUAAUAUCUCUUGCUAAUGACGGUACCUGAAGAAUAAGCCCCGGCUAACUCCGUGCCAGCAGCCGCGGUAAUACGGAGGGGGCUAGCGUUGUUCGGAAUUACUGGGCGUAAAGCGCACGUAGGCGGCUUUGUAAGUUAGAGGUGAAAGCCCGGGGCUCAACUCCGGAAUUGCCUUUAAGACUGCAUCGCUAGAAUUGUGGAGAGGUGAGUGGAAUUCCGAGUGUAGAGGUGAAAUUCGUAGAUAUUCGGAAGAACACCAGUGGCGAAGGCGACUCACUGGACACAUAUUGACGCUGAGGUGCGAAAGCGUGGGGAGCAAA